UUUAUGGAGAGUUUGAUCCUGGCUCAGGACGAACGCUGGCGGCGUGCUUAACACAUGCAAGUCGAACGGAAAGGCCCUGCUUGCAGGGUACUCGAGUGGCGAACGGGUGAGUAACACGUGGGUGAUCUGCCCUGCACUUCGGGAUAAGCCUGGGAAACUGGGUCUAAUACCGGAUAGGACCAUCGUUUAGUGUCGGUGGUGGAAAGUUUUUCGGUGCAGGAUGAGCUCGCGGCCUAUCAGCUUGUUGGUG
Molecule: ribosomal RNA, 250 nt
Filed under: Corynebacterium variabile
Lineage: Bacteria; Bacillati; Actinomycetota; Actinomycetes; Mycobacteriales; Corynebacteriaceae
Description: partial 16S ribosomal RNA
Rfam family: Bacterial small subunit ribosomal RNA
Source: RNAcentral